Molecule: ribosomal RNA, 498 nt
Filed under: uncultured bacterium
Lineage: Bacteria
Description: partial 16S ribosomal RNA
Rfam family: Bacterial small subunit ribosomal RNA
Source: RNAcentral
ACUCAAAGGAAUAGACGGGGGCCCGCACAAGCGGUGGAGCAUGUGGUUUAAUUCGACGCAACGCGAAGAACCUUACCUGGGCUCGAAAUGCUAUGGACCGGAGUAGAAAUAUUCCUUCCCCGCAAGGGGCCGUAGUAUAGGUGCUGCAUGGCUGUCGUCAGCUCGUGUCGUGAGAUGUUGGGUUAAGUCCCGCAACGAGCGCAACCCUUACUUCCAGUUGCCACCAUUUAGUUGGGCACUCUGGCAGAACCGCCUCGGAUAACGGGGAGGAAGGUGGGGAUGACGUCAAGUCCUCAUGGCCUUUAUGUCCAGGGCUACACACGUGCUACAAUGGCCGGUACAAACCGUCGCAAACCCGUGAGGGGGAGCUAAUCGGAAAAAGCCGUCCUCAGUUCGGAUUACAGUCUGCAACUCGACUGUAUGAAGCUGGAAUCGCUAGUAAUCGCGGAUCAGAACGCCGCGGUGAAUACGUUCCCGGGCCUUGUACACACCGCCCGU